RNAcentral lists this ribosomal RNA (303 nucleotides) under uncultured fungus. RNAcentral describes it as "partial large subunit ribosomal RNA". It matches the Rfam family "Eukaryotic large subunit ribosomal RNA", at positions 40 to 358 of the family's 3401-position model. Lineage: Eukaryota; Fungi. The record is from RNAcentral.
AUAUCAUUAAGCGGACAAAGAAAGUAAAGACGAUUCCCUCAGUAGCGGCGAGCGAAGCGGGAACAAGCCCAAGCUGAACCCCUGCCCCUCAGGGCAUGGGGAUUGUAGCCUAGAGAUCAUCGCUGCCAACGGGCCUGAAGUGAGUUGGAACGCUCCGCCACGGAAGGUGAUAGCCCUGUACAGGCCCAUAGUGCGUGAGAUUCGUAGAGUCGAGUUGCUUGGGAUUGCAGCUCAAAAUGGGAGAUGUACUUCUCCUAAGGCUAAAGAUCACUGGGAGACCGAUAGCGAACAAGUACCGUGAGG